CACCACAACAGGUGGAGCCUGCGGUUUAAUCGGACUCAACGCCGGGAAACUCACCAGAUAAGACAGCUGAAUGAUAGUCGGGCUGAAGACUCUACUUGACUAGCUGAGAGGAGGUGCAUGGCCGUCGUCAGUUCGUACUGUGAAGCAUCCUGUUAAGUCAGGCAGCGAGCGAGACCCACGCCAACAGUUGCCAGCUCGUCCUCCGGGAUGGUGGGGACACUGUUGGGACCGCCUCUGCUAAAGAGGAGGAAGGAAUGGGCAACGGUAGGUCAGCAUGCCCCGAAUUAUCUGGGCUACACGCGGGCUACAAUGGGUGGGACAAUGGGUAUCGACACCGAAAGGUGAAGGCAAUCUCCUAAACCCAUCCGUAGUUCGGAUUGUGGGCUGCAACUCGCCCACAUGAAGCUGGAAUCUGUAGUAAUCGUGUCUCAAAAUGGCACGGUGAAUAUGUCCCUGCUCCUU
This 462-nucleotide ribosomal RNA is filed under the name uncultured Methanomicrobiales archaeon. RNAcentral's name for it is "bacterial SSU rRNA". It matches the Rfam family "Archaeal small subunit ribosomal RNA", at positions 877 to 1338 of the family's 1478-position model. Lineage: Archaea; Methanobacteriati; Methanobacteriota; Methanomicrobia; Methanomicrobiales. The record is from RNAcentral.